This 181-nucleotide ribosomal RNA is filed under the name Galeorhinus galeus (tope shark). RNAcentral's name for it is "partial small subunit ribosomal RNA". Lineage: Eukaryota; Metazoa; Chordata; Chondrichthyes; Carcharhiniformes; Triakidae. The record is from RNAcentral.
CACCGCGGUUAUACGAGUGACUCAUAUUAACACACCCCGGCGUAAAGAGUGAUUUAAGGAUGGCCUUCAACAACUAAAGUUUAGACCUCAUCAAGCUGUUAUACGCACCCAUGAAUGGAAUAAUCAACAACGAAAGUGACUUUAAAUAUCAAGGAGCCUUGAUGUCACGAUAGUUGGGACC